RNAcentral lists this long non-coding RNA (2153 nucleotides) under Brachypodium distachyon (stiff brome). RNAcentral's name for it is "long non-coding RNA (BDIS_LNC002176)". The record is from RNAcentral. Lineage: Eukaryota; Viridiplantae; Streptophyta; Magnoliopsida; Poales; Poaceae.
CACCAUGAUAAUGCAUCAAAACGAAAUUUACUACUAGCAAUUUGGACCUUACGACUAUCUAGUACAUGGAAGCAUGUGAAUUGUUCAGUUAAAGCUAGCUCCCAAUCUAUAUACGUUUCAGCAUCAUUUUCCCCCUCAAAGAAAGGUACACACAAUUUAAUUGUAUUAGAAUGAUUGUUUUGUACCGUUGCCGUGGCAUUAUCAACAAGAGACGUGGAGGAUGGCUGUGGUGAAAAGCACUCAUCGCGGUCACGGGAUAGGAUCGGUCUAGUUGCCAUGCUUCGUGUAAGUCCUGUCAUGGUUAGUAGAAAACAAGAAACAAAUCACAGUAAUAUGUUCCUAUCAACUACUAGGAUGUGGCUACAAGUCGCUUAACUCUCAAGCUAAAAAUCAAGUUCUUACAAGUUCUUACCAUGCAAAACAGGCAGGUGAUGGCCAGCGGCGUGACCAAGCCCUCCGAAUAUUAAAUGUAUCGAUGCCUCGGUAACAAACCAAUCUAGGUGUAAAAUCUGUGGAGCUUGGAGGCUUUUGUGAGUAGCCAGGAAUAGCAAAUAAUCAAAUCAGCAAUGCAAAGUUAAAAAUAUGCUCAAUAAUGCUAGUCCUAGCUGCUGGAGUCGAUAAGAACGAAUUACAGAAAUAAUCUAAGCCUAGAUACUGAAAAAGGUAGGAAUAGAUAGAUCAAAAGAUGGCACAACAAGUAAAUCCCUGGGAUUUUUUUUUCUUUCUUUUUUAUUUUUGUGGCCUUCUGUUUGGUUUCUUAUUCUUUUCUUCUUCUUUUUUUUCUUUUUUUUUUAACCCCAAAAACUCACGCAAAAGAAGGACCGGAAAAAUGUACGUCGGUCUGUCGAAGAACAGCAAAGGCUGCAGUAAGAAAAUUUCAGAAAAAUAUGGAAAAAUAUGGGUUAGAAGCGUAUCGACACAAGCUUUCUAGCAAGGGCAAGAUCACUGAAAACGGAUGUCGGACGGUGGAGGAAACUGAGAAACAUCGGGCUGCAGCGACGCCGGAAAACGGAUGCAGAAACUUGGAAGCUCCGAAAGUCCACCUUACAAACCGAAUUUGAGGGUCAAAGUCUGGAUAUUUCCUGAUGCGCCUCGUCGUGAGCUUUCCAAAAAGUCCAAGAACGUCCAAAUCCGAGUCAGUACGCAAAAGAUACGCCCGUUUUACUGAACACGGGUCAAACCCACCCGAAACUAAAAUUCUACUCGGACUCGGGUCCGAAACUGACUCGAACUCUUUCUCUUUUUUUUCGUUUUUUUUUCUUUCUUUCUUUCCUUUUUUUUUUCUUUCCUUUCUUUUUUUUUCAACUUUCCCAACAACUUGAUCUCUAAACAAAAUUCGAUCUAUGAUGAAACACUUUCCAAAAGCACUCCUUAUUGGACUCGGACUCGAACUCGCGGCUGAAAACUAUUACUUGCCGACUCGAUGUAGAACUCGAAGAGGGACACAGUGUAGGACUUGACGAGGGACUCGGUGUAGGACUGGAAGAGGGACUCGGUGUAGGACUCGAUGAGGGACUCGGUGUAGGACUCGAUGAGGGACUCGGUGUAGGACUCGAAGAGGGACUCGGUGGAAGAUAUGUUGGCGGCGGGAGAUUAUGGCGGCGGUGUGGCAGGAAGUUUGGCGGCGGAAGAUUGAUGAAGGAAACCUGCGUCACACGAAGAACAAGAAAACCAAAAGCAAGUUCGAUCUAGUAGAAAAAAUCUGAAAAACGAUCCAAUCUAAUCCAGCAACUCGACACGAUUAAUGCAGCAAAGAUUCAACAAUGCAAAUACUAAUGUGAAAAUUGCAAGGCUCAGAUUGGUUCUAGGACAAGGUAACUAAUUCUAAUUUUUGUUUGGCUUUUUCUGGACGAUAGGUAAAAACAGAUCUAAACUACGGAUAAACUGGAAAAAUCUCACCGAGUAACCUUAAGCUCUGAUACCACGUGAUACGGGUGCGGGUGGCCCGAUCUUUCGAUGAGAUUGAUAACUCUCGAUUUGUGUAGGAGGUGACGUUGACGAUCCGACUACAACCUAGGAGGCAGCGCCUUAGCGAUCGAUACACCAACUCCAGAAGGUUAUUGAUCCCGCGGGGGCACGAUCAACCUGACCACGAAGGUAUUUGUUCCUGCAAGCAAUCGAAGAACAAGCAAGAACAAGAUAAAUAGCAGAUG